RNAcentral lists this long non-coding RNA (1366 nucleotides) under Carica papaya (papaya). Its description in RNAcentral is "long non-coding RNA (CPAP_LNC013712)". The record is from RNAcentral. Lineage: Eukaryota; Viridiplantae; Streptophyta; Magnoliopsida; Brassicales; Caricaceae.
GGGGAUACCGCUCGUGUGUAACUUUACAAUGUGGUAAGAGAGUCAAUGAUAUUUUCAAAAUCUUCAUUGUCAUAACCUAAUAAACUAGUUCUAAAAUAAUGAAAUCGUCUAUCUCUUAAUUUAUACAAGUUCAGUUUUAUGCCUUCAAAAACUUUAGCAUUUCUCUCUUUCCAAAUAACCCAAAAAAUGGUCAAAUGAAUUAAAUUUGCUACUUUUCUAUUGACAUCUAUCCAUUCCCAAGCUCAUAACUCCCCCGAACAAUCCUAGAAAUUACCCAAUUAAUUCCCAAAAGUCCAUAGAUCAUGCUCCAAAGUUCAUAUGUCUCUGGGCACCAAAGAAGUACGUGAUUACAAAACUAUUUCACUCUCAAAUAGAGGUAACAAUAAUUUACUAUGAUCUGACCAUUUUUUCUGAGUUUAUCAAUGGUGAGUGUACUUCCUUUAUAGGCUUCCCACACGAAAAAAGAAAUUCUCAAAGUUAUCCUCACAUUCCGCAUUUGUUUAGUUGGGAAAUUUUGUAAAACCUCCUCAUUGUCACCACCAGCUAUCUGUAAUACGAACCCACAAAAAAAUUACCACUUUCUUCCAGCUUCCACACCACCUUAUCCUCACAAUCUUUUAUUUCUUGGGCCUCUAAAAGUGUUAAUAAUUCAACACACUCAUUUAUUUCCCAAUCAUUUAGGUUCCUUAAAAUAUUAACUAGCCAUUCAAUAUUGUUGUUAUUCGUUCGAUAAGCUUCAUUAACCAGCAUCUCUUUAGAUUGAGCAAUCUCAUAAAUCUUUGGGAAUUUCACCACAAGAGAAUCAAUCCCAAUCCAGACAUGAAGCCAAAAGCACAUUUUGCUACCAUUACCAAGUUGUCAUUUUAUACAUACCUUGAAUUUUGGCCAUUGCAGCAGGAUUUUCUUUCAAGGAUCUCUAUUGCGGUCUACUGGUGUGAGUUCUGCUUUUGCCAGAAGGCAAAACUGCAAUAGCAAUUCUCCCCAUCUUGGAGCAACUAUGUUCUUCCAUAAUCUAUCACCAUCCAUUAAAAAUAUCCAUAACCAUUAGCCUUGUAGGCCGAUAUUCAUGCUAACAAAAGAUCUUAAGCCUAGUCCACCACUGACCAUUGGUCUUUUAAUUAUUGGAAAAAAUUAAUCCUUAAAGCAUGCACAAUCUCAUCAAAGUAAAAGCAGAAAGAAAAGAACACAAGGAUUUUACGUGAUUUGGCAGUGUACCUAUAUCCACGAGCAAUACCGACAAGAAAGAAUUUUACUAUGUAAUCUGAGAGUACAUCACCAAUAGGUUAGCAAACCUAUUUAUAGAGAGACUAACAGAAUUUUUCACAAAUAAAAACUCUCUACGAUAUACAUCAAUUAUUCUCUAGGA